GAGGGAGAGAAAUUGGGAGAUGUUUCCCUCCCAAAUUGAGGCAGAAAAGAAAACCGGGACAAGCAGAGCAGGGAUCGAAAGCAAGUUGGAGAAAGACAGAAGCGGGGUUGGACUGUGCAGAGGGUAGAGUGGACUGGAGGCUCUCUUCAUCCUCAUCUUGCAGGCACAGGCGAGCCCCUGUGUCAUUUCAGCCCGACUCCAAGGACAGGCUUUGGAGGGGGCUCAGCCCUGGUCUGCGCAGUGGUGCCUCCCAGCUGUGGGACGUGGACCAAGGGAUCAAAGCCUUCUCGACUUAACCCCAAUUCUGUCAUGGAUGCCUUCGGCACCCACUGGGAAGAGAGUUUCCCCAGAAGCUGCAGGGGAAGACCUUAGGCCCAUAAAGAAGAGGAAGACUUCAAGGAGGGAUGCAAAACAGGGCACCGGAGAAACUGUGGCUGACAUCAAGUGUCAAGGCCACAAGCUCAUCUCAGAGCUGGUCCAGCCAGACCCUACCCUUGGGUCUCAGAUGGAAGAACUGGGCCCAGAGAGGUGAGGAAACCUGCCACGGGCUGCCCAGCCUCAGCAGCCGGGUGGCGGCUGCACUUGUGCAAGCAGCAGCUGGCGAUCCGAGAACAAAAGCGAAGCAUUCCUUCUGCAGUCAGCAGCCAAGCCAGCUGGACGGCAGCCGCCCCGCAGGGCUGCUGCGCUUGCUAGUGUUGCCGGCAGGGAGCCUUGUCGGGGACAAGGGGCCUGGGGAGACCCUCCUCUGAGGUUGGGGAUCUGUCCCUCCGUCAGCGGUGACACAGGGGCACAGCUUCACUGAGCAGCCAUAUGUGCCGUCUCAGCUGCCAGGCCGCCCGGGGACGGAGGGUAACUGCGACUUUCCGGAGGGCUAGGGCUGGGAGCUAGCACCUGGAGUGGGCUGCCUCCGGCUGUGUGGUCUCCUCUGAAAACCAGUUGGAAGGUUCGUUAUCUCUGACCUCGGUUCAGAGCCUGGAAAGCCCCACUUCCUCGCUGGGAAGCCUUGGGGAACCCUUGCAGCAGUCUGGUGCUUGGUCUUGCUCUGGCCAACAGGUCCGAGGUGGGUGUCACUUAGAGUCCGCCGUGGGUGGAAAGGGGCAUGUGUGCAGGGCUCCAGCGAUGCCAUGGUAUAAAAAUGUAAUCUGGGGGACAGUGACAUGGCGCAGAGGACCAAGGCAUUUGCUGUACAAGCCUGGUGACCUGAAUUUGAUCCCUGGAUCCUUGUAAUGGUGGAAGAAGAAAAUCUGACUUCGUAAAUUUUCUUUCCUCUGACCUCCAUAUUCCACAUGUGCACUGCACACCCACACUCACAUUAUACAUGCACGUGUAAUAACGACAAAUAAAUAACUUCUAAAUGUAAUUUAAGGGCUACUGAUAUGGCUUAGUGAGUAAAGGUGCUUGCCACCAAGUUUGGUACCUGGGUUCAGUUCCCAGAACCCACAUGAUGGAAGGAGAGAACCACCUCCUGCAAGUCGU
This is a non-coding RNA of Peromyscus maniculatus bairdii (prairie deer mouse), 1476 nucleotides long. Lineage: Eukaryota; Metazoa; Chordata; Mammalia; Rodentia; Cricetidae. The record is from RefSeq and is a predicted model, not a curated record.